This is a long non-coding RNA of Hemiscyllium ocellatum (epaulette shark), 886 nucleotides long. RefSeq lists it as uncharacterized. The transcript is spliced from 4 exons. NCBI's taxonomy places the organism in Eukaryota, Metazoa, Chordata, Chondrichthyes, Orectolobiformes, Hemiscylliidae. The record is from RefSeq and is a predicted model, not a curated record.
AGGCUGUCACUGGCUCGGCCAGCAUUUAUUGCUGCGUUUACCCAGAGGGCAGUUAAGAGUCAACCACGUUGCUAUAGGUCUGGAGUCCCAUGCAGACCAGACCAGAUCCCAGUGAUCGGUGCCAAAGCCCCAUUGCCUGUGGAGAAGGUGAUGUUUGACUUCCUGUACAGCUGCAGUUCGUGUGGUGAAGGUGCUCCCACAAUGUGGUUGGGGAUCUGCACUGGAACCCUUCUGUUUGCGGGACAAAUAUAUAUAAGUGACAUGGAUUAAAAUCUAAUUUGGUCAACACAUCCAUGAACCAAGCAAUGAUUCCUCAUCCAACACUCACAGGAAAUAUCUGAUGCCUUCUCAUUUGAAUGUUCACAGAAAUCAUUGGAUUAAUAUUUGGCAUUAAAAUGAAGAUACGUCUAAUUGUUUUAGACUCCAAUAAUUAAUGUUCAUAUCUACAUGUUACAGAUCGCAAUAUGAAGUUUCUAAUUAUUUUAAGUUUGCAGUGACCUGUUUUAAGACAAAUUUUUCCUUAUAUCUAAUAUUUAAUCACUGAUAAAAUCCAGUAUAUUUGGCUUUAAGUGUGGAAUUAAGUCUCAGUGACGUAGGCAUAUUGCACGGUAUUGUUCCCUAAUGGUAGCGAAUGCAGAUUUGUAUUUUAAUACUGAAAUCCUGGUUGAUUUGCUGUUGUAGGGGUGCCCUGCCCCAUCUGGAAUAGAAUGGCCUAUGUUGGCUCAUACAAAAUGUCCGACACACAAAAAGACGCAACCUGCUUUAGAAUUAGAACACAAGAUGGCGGAGGAGAGAUAAACUAACAGUUUGUUCCAAUCUUGAUGAAAGAAAAUAAUCUUUUGUAAAAUCCUACUCCAAGUCCAUCAGUAUGCCAGUCCAGACAGUA